AAAGUUUCCAUGUAGUUCAGUUCCCAGGGUUGUUCAACAAAGUACAGUAAGAUGGAUGAACCUUUCUAGGAGCAAAAAGUGACUGUCCCUGCCCUGAAGACCUUUCCAAACUAGAAAAGUCAGGAAGAGAAUCGGAUGGGAGCAGAGCACUCAGGUGACUUGCCUGCGGUCACCCAAGAUGAUGGUGGCAGAAGCAAAGCUGGGACUCGGGAUGCGUGUGUCAUAUUUUGGCCCUGUCCUCCAAGUCAUGCUGCUUCCUGGCCCAUAUACUGCGUGCAGUAGGGUCUGUGUGGUCUCCAGCAAGAUGCAGUACCUCAUCUUCUGAGUGUUUUUCCUGGCGCUACGAGAUCGCAUGGAGCCCAGCCCAGGGUAAUAAUGUGCUGCGUGUUCCCAAAACUGGGAACAAAAGGCUGUGUGCUGGUACAACUAUUUCCGCUAGAGGUGUGAUGUUUUUAGUGAAAUGGAUGCACCAACACGACCACUGGUUGGGGACAGUUGUAUUGGCACAAAGGGGCUUCAUACCACUGCCUUCUGGUGUGGAAAUUAAAAUUUCAGCAUAAAUAAUUAUCUUUAUACUGGUAUAGCUGUUUCUACCCUGGGGAAGCUGUAUCAUUUUGCUAUACCAGUCUACACAACCCUGUGUGCAGCCAGGCCUUCGCAGUGGCAUGCCUUCUGCAUAGUAAAGCCUUCGCGCUGGCCAGGCCCUCACCGUGCCAAGAAGAGCUGUGGAGAGUCAGUGACGUUACUGAGGUAUUGGAUGCUCUGCUUGAGUCCGUCUGUCAAAACCUGAAGGAGGAGGGGUGCCCUUGCUUACUUGCACUGGCCAGCACACUAGUCUGCAUCUCUGGCAUCAACUGGUGAGUGGUGUUGCUAUAUCUGGAGGCAGCCAGCUGGUAAAAUGAGAGCCAGUUUUUACAACACCUUACAACCAGGAAGAGUUGUUCCUCUUGCAGUGUCUGCCUAAGUUCGUUUUAUGGCAGAAGAAUAAAGCUCUGGUAGCAGAGCCA
Molecule: long non-coding RNA, 1007 nt
Filed under: Anser brachyrhynchus (Pink-footed goose)
Lineage: Eukaryota; Metazoa; Chordata; Aves; Anseriformes; Anatidae
Description: lncRNA (ENSABRG00000021004.1)
Source: RNAcentral